UCUGCUCUUCAGUUAACUAGGGUUAUAAUAUCAGCUUAGAAGAUAUGGGAAGAGUUGAUGACGAGACGCUUUAUAUAAUAUCAAAAAUUAAUAACUUUUUAGAUAAGUACUACAAUAUUACUACUAAAGAAGGUUCUUUAUAUAAUCUUAAUCUCGACCAGAAGGAUAUAAUUUUGGAGCUCCUGAGUAUUGAAUAUUGGUAUUACCGAUUAAACUCGUUUAGGCGUUCGACUUGGGCAGGGUUUCCUUAUAUCCUCUCACCACUUAAAGUUUCACAGAGAGGAUGGCGUAAUAAGGGGAGGAAUGUCUUGUACUGUGACAUUUGCUUAAGCUCUUUCUAUUGUGGGUUUUCAGAUUCUACACAAACUUCCGCUGUUUAUAAUAGGGUUUUAAGUCGUUAUGUAUGCUCUCUCACUGAGAAUCAUGCCGAACAUUGUCCUUGGAAAAAAUUCUAUUGCUCUGAGAAACUGUUACUUCCUUUCCUGUUUUCACCAAAGAAUGCUUUAACGUAUUUCAUUGAUUGUGUUACUGAAAACUAUAAUAAAAUUAAGUUAUUUAAUAUUUCACUUGAAACUUUUUUGGUGGCCUUGAGCCUUCCAGAGGCGUUUAUAGAUACAGUACAUACUUGGUAUGAAAGAAAUAAUCUUGAUUGGAAUUUUUU
Molecule: long non-coding RNA, 661 nt
Organism: Zophobas morio
Lineage: Eukaryota; Metazoa; Arthropoda; Insecta; Coleoptera; Tenebrionidae
Exons: 3
Source: RefSeq, a predicted model, not a curated record